GUGGGGAAUAUUGGACAAUGGGCGAAAGCCUGAUCCAGCCAUGCCGCGUGUGUGAAGAAGGUCUUCGGAUUGUAAAGCACUUUAAGUUGGGAGGAAGGGUAGUAACCUAAUACGUUGCUACUUUGACGUUACCGACAGAAUAAGCACCGGCUAACUUCGUGCCAGCAGCCGCGGUAAUACGAAGGGUGCAAGCGUUAAUCGGAAUUACUGGGCGUAAAGCGCGCGUAGGUGGUUCAGUAAGUUGGAAGUGAAAUCCCCGGGCUCAACCUGGGAACUGCUUUCAAAACUGCUGAGCUAGAGUACGGUAGAGGGUGGUGGAAUUUCCUGUGUAGCGGUGAAAUGCGUAGAUAUAGGAAGGAACACCAGUGGCGAAGGCGACCACCUGGACUGAUACUGACACUGAGGUGUGAAAGCGUGGGGAGCAAACAGGAUUAGAUACCCUAGUAGUCC
This 450-nucleotide ribosomal RNA is filed under the name uncultured bacterium. RNAcentral describes it as "partial 16S ribosomal RNA". It matches the Rfam family "Bacterial small subunit ribosomal RNA", at positions 354 to 796 of the family's 1533-position model. The record is from RNAcentral.